RNAcentral lists this ribosomal RNA (253 nucleotides) under uncultured bacterium. Its description in RNAcentral is "partial 16S ribosomal RNA". It matches the Rfam family "Bacterial small subunit ribosomal RNA", at positions 524 to 776 of the family's 1533-position model. The record is from RNAcentral.
UACGGAGGGUGCAAACGUUGCUCGGAAUCAUUGGGCGUAAAGCGCACGUAGGCGGCCUGUUAAGUCGGGUGUGAAAUCCCUGGGCUCAACCCAGGAAGUGCACUCGAAACUGGCAGGCUUGAGUACUGAAGAGGGUCGCGGAAUUCCCGGUGUAGAGGUGAAAUUCGUAGAUAUCGGGAGGAACACCAGUGGCGAAGGCGGCGACCUGGGCAGAUACUGACGCUGAGGCACGAAAGCGUGGGUAGCAAACAGG